UAUCCACUGCCCAAACCCGUAAUUUUCCUCCCUCUUCCUCCUUCUCCCUAUCCACUGUCUCCCAGCACGCUCUCUCUCUCCACUCUCUUUGUGCCCUAAUUAAAUCCAUUACUCUCUGUGCAUUGACCUAGUCGGUGAGGCAGGCUACGACAAUUAGGGAAGAAUCUGAUUUUUUUUUGGGUUUUUGCGAAGGUUUGGGGUGGUGGUCGUUGCACGAAUUAGGUAGUGAUGAGGUCGUCGUGCGCGACGGAGAUGGUCUGGUGGUGGAGUUCAAAUGAUGCGGCUAUUGCGUUCGCUCUAGUCGAUGCUGCUUCUGGUUCCUCUCUCUCGGUGCAACUGCUUUGAUUCCACUGGAGGAUCGUUGAUGCAUUUUCACUCGUCGUCGACGAUGAUGCAAAUGAUUUUGCUUUUGAUUUUGGAUUGCCGGUGAUGAUGCUAGUGAUUCAGUUGGGGUUUCAAUGGUUUCCUUUUGAUUUUAGAUCUAUGGUUUAGCUGUGGAGGUGAUGAUGCUAGCGAUGAUAGUUAGGUGUAGGUGGUGCUAGUGAUCGCGGUUGUGAAGCGGUAAUGGUGGUGGUGGUGGUGGUAUUGCUUGUAGUCACAGUGAUAAUGGUGUGGUUGGUGGUGACGACGACGAUGGUAAGUGCUUAAGAUGGGGUCGGAUGCUCCGUGACUAAUUAUUUGGUUAAUUAUGACCAAUAAUUGGUUAAUAUGUAAUAUGUGACCUAAAAGUUUUGACCGUGACUUACAAUUGAUUAAUUUAUUACUGAAAAUUAAUUGUUACCAACUAAUCUAAUAAUUUGCAGUGAAUAAAUGAGUUGUGACAAACAACAAUUUUGAUUUGUG
RNAcentral lists this long non-coding RNA (843 nucleotides) under Olea europaea subsp. europaea. Lineage: Eukaryota; Viridiplantae; Streptophyta; Magnoliopsida; Lamiales; Oleaceae. The record is from RNAcentral.